UUACUCCUACGGGAGGCAGCAGUGGGGAAUAUUGGACAAUGGGGGCAACCCUGAUCCAGCAAUGCCGCGUGUAGUGAAGAAGGUCUUCGGAUUGUAAAGCACUUUCGACGGGGACGAUGAUGACGGUACCCGUAGAAGAAGCCCCGGCUAACUUCGUGCCAGCAGCCGCGGUAAUAA
This 177-nucleotide ribosomal RNA is filed under the name uncultured bacterium. Its description in RNAcentral is "partial 16S ribosomal RNA". It matches the Rfam family "Bacterial small subunit ribosomal RNA", at positions 333 to 526 of the family's 1533-position model. The record is from RNAcentral.